UACGUAGGUGGCAAGCGUUGUCCGGAAUUAUUGGGCGUAAAGCGCGCGCAGGCGGAUCAGUCAGUCUGUCUUAAAAGUUCGGGGCUUAACCCCGUGAUGGGAUGGAAACUGCUGAUCUAGAGUAUCGGAGAGGAAAGUGGAAUUCCUAGUGUAGCGGUGAAAUGCGUAGAUAUUAGGAAGAACACCAGUGGCGAAGGCGACUUUCUGGACGAAAACUGACGCUGAGGCGCGAAAGCCAGGGGAGCGAACGG
Molecule: ribosomal RNA, 251 nt
Filed under: uncultured bacterium
Lineage: Bacteria
Description: partial 16S ribosomal RNA
Rfam family: Bacterial small subunit ribosomal RNA
Source: RNAcentral